RNAcentral lists this ribosomal RNA (221 nucleotides) under uncultured bacterium. RNAcentral's name for it is "partial 16S ribosomal RNA". It matches the Rfam family "Bacterial small subunit ribosomal RNA", at positions 113 to 334 of the family's 1533-position model. The record is from RNAcentral.
CGGCGUGGGUAACCUGCCUCAUACAGGGGGAUAGCAGCUGGAAACGGCUGAUAAAACCGCAUAAGCGCACAGCAUCGCAUGAUGCAGUGUGAAAAACUCCGGUGGUAUGAGAUGGACCCGCGUCUGAUUAGCUAGUUGGUGAGGUAACGGCCCACCAAGGCGACGAUCAGUAGCCGGCCUGAGAGGGUGACCGGCCACAUUGGGACUGAGACACGGCCCAA